Molecule: long non-coding RNA, 666 nt
Organism: Orbicella faveolata
Lineage: Eukaryota; Metazoa; Cnidaria; Anthozoa; Scleractinia; Merulinidae
Source: RefSeq, a predicted model, not a curated record
UACUUCGUACAUAUGCAAUUGCGCUCCUUUGUUGGUGUAGGUGAGAAAUUCAUUCAGACAGACGUGACGAACCAAAUUUUGGACUAGGAGUAGUUUGUAUUCGAUGGUUACCCCGUCAAGGGUCAGCGGUAUAUACUAAUAACGUGACGUGGCGAAUGUGUUUUGCAAUUUGUUUAUAUGGAGCGAAAAAUAUAUCUCAGCUGUCCUCAAGCUUUCGAUAUCCCCGUGUUUGGUGGUCAAGAGAAAAGAGUCGCCCUUGAUAUGUCAGAAAAUAUGGAAUACUCCUACACGAUGGUCCAAACUUUAAUGGAAAAAGCACGCUCACAAUGUAGAUCAGACGCCUACACGGAGAAAUAUGGAGAAAUUCCUCUCUUCGCCCACGAGUCACGUCCAUGUUCUGAAACAGUAAUAUGGCUGGAAAUGAUAUUUCCAAAUUCAUCCAAGGGAUAAAACAAGAAACCAAGAUAUCAAAAUCAAGCGAAUUCUAGCAUCACUGAUCCUCUUAAAAUUGACAAUGAUUGGGAAAAUGUGUGUUAACCUUUGUACCUGCCCACGAACGUAGACCGAUUUUGCGGUGGAAAUUUGGCGACGUUUGCAGGCUACCAGACUGACCCUGGUAUACGUCAUAUAAAAAGGCUGGACGAUCCCGAAGAAAAAGUAAAGGGC